This 445-nucleotide ribosomal RNA is filed under the name uncultured bacterium. Its description in RNAcentral is "bacterial SSU rRNA". It matches the Rfam family "Bacterial small subunit ribosomal RNA", at positions 331 to 792 of the family's 1533-position model. The record is from RNAcentral.
CCAGACUCCUACGGGAGGCAGCAGUGGGGAAUAUUGCACAAUGGGGGAAACCCUGAUGCAGCAACGCCGCGUGAGUGAGGAAGUAUUUCGGUAUGUAAAGCUCUAUCAGCAGGGAAUAGAAAAGAAGGUACCUGAAAAAGAAGCCCCGGCUAACUACGUGCCAGCAGCCGCGGUAAUACGUAGGGGGCGAGCGUUAUCCGGAUUCACUGGGUGUAAAGGGAGCGUAGACGGCCAAGCAAGCCAGGGGUGAAAGCCCGGGGCCCAACCCCGGGACUGCCCUUGGAACUGCAUGGCUGGAGUGCGGGAGGGGCAGGCGGAAUUCCUGGUGUAGCGGUGAAAUGCGUAGAUAUCAGGAGGAACACCGGCGGCGAAGGCGGCCUGCUGGACCGCGACUGACGUUGAGGCUCGAAAGCGUGGGGAGCGAACAGGAUUAGAUACCCCUGUA